Molecule: ribosomal RNA, 541 nt
Filed under: uncultured bacterium
Lineage: Bacteria
Description: bacterial SSU rRNA
Rfam family: Bacterial small subunit ribosomal RNA
Source: RNAcentral
UGAGGAAUAUUGGUCAAUGGGCGGAAGCCUGAACCAGCCAAGUAGCGUGCAGGAUGACGGCCCUAUGGGUUGUAAACUGCUUUUGAAGGGGAGUAAAGUGAGUGACUUGUCAUUCAUUGCAAGUACCCUUGGAAUAAGGACCGGCUAAUUCCGUGCCAGCAGCCGCGGUAAUACGUAGGGGGCAAGCGUUAUCCGGAUUCAUUGGGCGUAAAGAGCUCGUAGGCGGCCCGUUAGGUCAGGAGUCAAAUUCGGGGGCUCAACCCCCGCGCGCUCCUGAUACCGGCGGGCUUGAGUUUGGUAGGGGAAGGUGGAAUUCCCAGUGUAGCGGUGGAAUGCGCAGAUAUUGGGAAGAACACCGGUGGCGAAGGCGGCCUUCUGGGCCAUAACUGACGCUGAGGAGCGAAAGCUAGGGGAGCGAACAGGAUUAGAUACCCUGGUAGUCCUAGCCGUAAACGAUGGACACUAGGUGUGGGCGAAUGUUUCGUCCGCGCCGCAGCCAACGCAUUAAGUGUCCCGCCUGGGGAGUACGGCCGCAAGGCUA